Molecule: ribosomal RNA, 640 nt
Filed under: uncultured bacterium
Lineage: Bacteria
Description: bacterial SSU rRNA
Rfam family: Bacterial small subunit ribosomal RNA (bases 1-542)
Source: RNAcentral
CCUACGGGAGGCAGCAGUGGGGAAUUUUGGACAAUGGGCGAAAGCCUGAUCCAGCAAUGCCGCGUGAGUGAAGAAGGCCUUCGGGUUGUAAAGCUCUUUUGUCAGGGAAGAAACGGUGAGAGCUAAUAUCUCUUGCUAAUGACGGUACCUGAAGAAUAAGCACCGGCUAACUACGUGCCAGCAGCCGCGGUAAUACGUAGGGUGCAAGCGUUAAUCGGAAUUACUGGGCGUAAAGCGUGCGCAGGCGGUUUUGUAAGUCUGAUGUGAAAUCCCCGGGCUCAACCUGGGAAUUGCAUUGGAGACUGCAAGGCUAGAAUCUGGCAGAGGGGGGUAGAAUUCCACGUGUAGCAGUGAAAUGCGUAGAUAUGUGGAGGAACACCGAUGGCGAAGGCAGCCCCCUGGGUCAAGAUUGACGCUCAUGCACGAAAGCGUGGGGAGCAAACAGGAUUAGAUACCCUGGUAGUCCACGCCCUAAACGAUGUCUACUAGUUGUCGGGUCUUAAUUGACUUGGUAACGCAGCUAACGCGUGAAGUAGACCGCCUGGGGGAGGUACGGUCGCGAGAAGUUAAACGUAACGAAAGUAGAAGUUAGUACGGACGUAGAGACGUUAGCCGACGGACGACGACGAGGGGAGGUAGG